GAUGAACGCUGGCGGCGUGCCUAAUACAUGCAAGUCGAGCGAACAGACGAGGAGCUUGCUCCUCUGACGUUAGCGGCGGACGGGUGAGUAACACGUGGAUAACCUACCUAUAAGACUGGGAUAACUUCGGGAAACCGGAGCUAAUACCGGAUAAUAUAUUGAACCGCAUGGUUCAAUAGUGAAAGACGGUUUUGCUGUCACUUAUAGAUGGAUCCGCGCCGCAUUAGCUAGUUGGUAAGGUAACGGCUUACCAAGGCAACGAUGCGUAGCCGACCUGAGAGGGGGAAGGGCCAAAUUGGAAAUGAGAACCGGUCCAAACCCCUAGGGGAGGCAGCAGUAGGGAAUUUUCCGAAAUGGGGGAAAGCUUGACGGAGCAACGCGGGGGGAGGAAAGAAGGGCUUCGGAUCGUAAAACUUUUUUAUUAGGGAAAAAAAAAUGUUAAAGUAACUAUGCACGUCUUGACGGUACCAAAAAAAAAAGCCACGGCUAACUACGU
RNAcentral lists this ribosomal RNA (496 nucleotides) under uncultured bacterium. Its description in RNAcentral is "partial 16S ribosomal RNA". It matches the Rfam family "Bacterial small subunit ribosomal RNA", at positions 28 to 506 of the family's 1533-position model. The record is from RNAcentral.